Long non-coding RNA from Suricata suricatta (meerkat), 378 nucleotides. RefSeq lists it as uncharacterized. The record is from RefSeq and is a predicted model, not a curated record. NCBI's taxonomy places the organism in Eukaryota, Metazoa, Chordata, Mammalia, Carnivora, Herpestidae. The transcript has 2 exons.
UGGUUGCUCCUGUCCCAGAUCCCGAUGACGAGUCUAAAGCUGCAGGAGGAAUUUUAGUUUGUGCCCUGAGGCAGGCAGGGGAAGGCUCGUGGUCGUCCUGUCUACUGGGAAUGCGUUUUUUACAGAAGAGAAAUCCAAAGCUCAGCUGCAUGGCCUAAGAUGAUACCAAUAAGAAGGAAGAAAUGUGAUUCCUUCCCAAGUAUGUGUGUCUUCAGCCUAGGCUCUUUCUGCAACUCUCAGACACGGGAUAUUAUUUACCUGUUUACAAGUCUGCUUCAGACCAUGAAACCUUCAAAACCAGGGACAUCCAGGGCCCAAUUAAUCUUAACCCUUGUUUGCUAAAUGAAUUCCUAAAUAAACUGUGUCAGUUCCCACUGA